GAUGAACGCUGGCGGCGUGCCUAAUACAUGCAAGUCGAGCGAACAGAUAAGGAGCUUGCUCCUUUGACGUUAGCGGCGGACGGGUGAGUAACACGUGGGUAACCUACCUAUAAGACUGGGAUAACUUCGGGAAACCGGAGCUAAUACCGGAUAACAUUUGGAACCGCAUGGUUCUAAAGUGAAAGAUGGUUUUGCUAUCACUUAUAGAUGGACCCGCGCCGUAUUAGCUAGUUGGUAAGGUAACGGCUUACCAAGGCGACGAUACGUAGCCGACCUGAGAGGGUGAUCGGCCACACUGGAACUGAGACACGGUCCAGACUCCUACGGGAGGCAGCAGUAGGGAAUCUUCCGCAAUGGGCGAAAGCCUGACGGAGCAACGCCGCAUGAGUGAUGAAGGGUUUCGGCUCGUAAAACUCUGUUAUUAGGGAAGAACAAACGUGUAAGUAACUGUGCACGUCUUGACGGUACCUAAUCAGAAAGCCACGGCUAACUACGUG
RNAcentral lists this ribosomal RNA (497 nucleotides) under uncultured bacterium. Its description in RNAcentral is "partial 16S ribosomal RNA". It matches the Rfam family "Bacterial small subunit ribosomal RNA", at positions 28 to 507 of the family's 1533-position model. The record is from RNAcentral.